Molecule: unclassified non-coding RNA, 106 nt
Filed under: soil metagenome
Description: partial internal transcribed spacer 1
Source: RNAcentral
GUGAACGCCCUCACGGGCUUAUACUAUUCCAAACCUCUGUGAACCGUGCCCUUCGGGGCUAUUUUACAACCAUGGUGUAAUGAACGUCAUAUAUCAUAACAAAACA